GAUGAACGCUGGCGGCGUGCCUAAUACAUGCAAGUCGAGCGAACGGACGAGAAGCUUGCUUUUCUGAUGUUAGCGGCGGACGGGUGAGUAACACGUGGAUAACCUACCUAUAAGACUGGGAUAACUUCGGGAAACCGGAGCUAAUACCGGAUAAUAUUUUGAACCGCAUGGUUCAAAAGUGAAAGACGGUCUUGCUGUCACUUAUAGAUGGAUCCGCGCUGCAUUAGCUAGUUGGUAAGGUAAUGGCUUACCAAGGCAACGAUGCAUAGCCGACCUGAGAGGGUGAUCGGCCACACUGGAACUGAGACACGGUCCAGACUCCUACGGGAGGCAGCAGUAGGGAAUCUUCCGCAAUGGGCGAAAGCCUGACGGAGCAACGCCGCGUGAGUGAUGAAGGUCUUCGGAUCGUAAAACUCUGUUAUUAGGGAAGAACAUAUGUGUAAGUAACUGUGCACAUCUUGACGGUACCUAAUCAGAAAGCUACGGCUAACUACGUG
This 497-nucleotide ribosomal RNA is filed under the name uncultured bacterium. RNAcentral's name for it is "partial 16S ribosomal RNA". It matches the Rfam family "Bacterial small subunit ribosomal RNA", at positions 28 to 507 of the family's 1533-position model. The record is from RNAcentral.